AUACUCUUCCUCAAAAUUCGAAGCGUCUUUCAGCGCGAGAGAGCGAGUGGGAGGACAUUGGCGUCGUCUGCGGUUUCCAAGCGAUGAGGACGGAGGCUGGAUCAAGUGAAUGUCGGAGUUUGGGCAGUCCUAAAUAUCCAUCUGGUCGAUUUCCAAAGGUCUCUAUUGGGAUCACAGUUGAGGGUUGCCUAAAGAUGGGAUCUGGAAAAACAAAAGAAGAUGGUGCUGCAUUGCCUACUUGGGAGCGAGUGUCUUCAUCUCAGGUUAAUGUUUUAGAAGAAAACAGAGUACCUGGAAUUGCAGAAGCCUCCAAAGGAAAACUUCCAGCUAAAGAUCUGAAGGCUUCUGCAUGGUUCUCUACAAGAUCUGUUUGUCAUGAAACACCAACUACGGAGACAAUGCAGAUCUUUGCAAAUAGGGCUUCAGUACUACAGUCAGAUGACGUGGUGCACAAAAAAAUUGAUACUGUUGCCUUUGGAAAAAGGAGAGAGAAAGAUGGAAAUAGUGAAAAGGUGGAAGAAGUUGCAUUUACUACUAUGGAGGAAAUGCAUGCGCCAUAUAAGGGUACUGGCAGAGAACAUCCCGAGGGAAUGAACAAGAACAGUAAUGAAACUCUGAGAAUAAAGCUGUGGGAGAUACUCGGUACUGCUUCACUGAACAAGCAAAAUAUGAACUCACUAAACCUUGGAAACAGAACAUUGGAUAUAAAUUUUAAAAGGGAAACCCAGAUGGACAAAUCAGAGAAGCUUAAGCAGAACCCCGAUAUGAUUGAGAUUGGUUCUGAAAUCCCAAUUCAAACCAUAAGAAGACCUGUUACUCGCUCCUUAGCAAAGAAGAAAGCGCCAUCAACUACAGGGAACAAGUUGCAGGGUCAGGUUAGCUCUGGAAAGAGGCCUUUGUUCUCCUCCAGUUCAGGUUCUAAACCGAAACUUGAUGGGAAGAACAUCGUUUCCUUUGAGGAAGGUGAAAGGAAAGAACAAAGCUUAGAACAGGCUGUCAGGUUUAAAGGGAAGAGAAGCAAGCAGAAGAGGACUAGAAUUGAACCUCGGAGGAAUUGUUUUCCUAGACAACUGGCUUCAGACAAGAGCGUGCAGACUGAGAGUAAAGAACAAACACUGCCAUCACCUGAUAAAGCUUCACCACAGAGCAAGGAAAAAACACAUUCCGCUUCUCUGACAGGUCACGGUCAGAAAGACAUUUUGCAAACCACCACUGAAGUUCCAGAUGUUAAUCAUCAUUCACAAACAGCAGCACCCAAACAUUUGGCCAAUCCAUUUCUAACAGGUUAUGCAGAAGCUCAUGAAUAUAAUGGUAGUUCAUUCAUGAAAAGGAAAACACGUUCGUGGGAACAUUUGAACAGGUCACCAGUGCCAAACGAUGCCUACCAGCACAAGAGUGUUGGUAGUCCAUCAGUGGCAAGGAGUAGUAAUCCCUUGGAUGACUUUCAGAGUCCAGCUUUUGCUAUGAAUGCAAGUACACAUACACCUUCACCAAGAAGUGAACAACCAAAUGAGGCUUUCUGUAGUCCUGUACCGGUUAAGAAUAGAAUGUUGGCAAGAAAAGUUUAUAGCUCUAACAGUCUGGGCAACUCCAGAAGAAAACAUUAUGGUUCAGAUGCAGAAACAGAAACUUCUGAUGGUACUAGGGAGAUUCGUGAGACAGGAACACCACAUGCUGGGGGAAAAACAGAAACCGAGAAGCAGCCGUCUGUAUCCCCAGUUGAUGACCAGGACACUGAGGGCUCUGAGGCAAACAAUUUCUUUAAAAAAGGUUGUAGACAGACUGACAAAUUGUUUUCCGAUGCGGAUAGCCCAAAGAUUUCUCAGCUCACACUUCAUCAUAGGAAAAGGGUCUGCAGCAGAAAAAUUGAAAAAUUAUGCAAAAUCAACCUAUCUUCACCAUCUCCAAUUGGCACUUACAGAACUGAAGAAACUAGUGGCUCACACGAGUCUUCAGAGCAAUACCCAGAGGACAGCUUGGCAGGGGCUGUUUGCCAACUGGCAUUGGUUUUGGAAAGGUUCAAGAGCAAAAUAAAAUCACACACAGUCAAGAAAAGCUCUGAGAUACUCUCAGCUGCUGCUGAAAAAAUACAUCUGCAGCUACAAGAUAUUGAGACUCAUAUACAGGCAGAUGUGGGGAAUCUCAUCAGCACUGGCAGUUCCCAGAGAAAGCAUAUGGAAUCUAAAUUUCAAGCCUAGGGGUGACCACGCCGGAAGGGAGUCAAGGGGACGCUGGCCGGGACGGAAAAGAAGAGCCACCUCCCUGCACUCCGGGGUACCUGCACAAAGCCUUGGCCGGAGAUUCCGGCGAAGGCGCUCCGAUAGAUAAGUCAGCCGAGCCUUUUAUGUGGAGAGGAGAGCUGUCUGAGUGCCUUUCAUGGCUUUUUGUUGCUCAAAAUAGCUUGUAGAAGCUUAAUGAUAUUUGUAAAGGCCUAUCAUUUCUUACCGAAGGUCUUUUCCUAUCUCCCUUUUAUAGGGUGAGAGUCUUGGCCGUUACCUGAAUCAAAGGCCGAGCUGUGAUCAGUUGGCCAAUAGCUGAAGAUGGCGUAUGCUGGCAGGUGUGGCAGAGCAUGGCCCUUGGUAGGUGUGGUAGGGUAUGACUCCUGGCAGGUGUAGCAGGGUAUGACCUUUGACGGGUGUGACUGGGUAUGGCCCUUGAUAGGUGUGAUCGGGUAUGGACCUAGGCAUGUCAUGAUGUGACCAGCAAGUAAUGGUUUGAAGAAUGGGGCUGGCUAGGCUGGAAUGUUCAGCCACACGUGUGGGCGUGGGCGUGCGCAUGGGUGCGGCUGCGGGUGAGAUCGAGCAGGCUCGGAGGCCAUGGCAUGUGCUUGUCGAGCUCGGGUCAGCCUCCGGCGGACUGAGGUCAGCCCAGCAUGGCUCUUGGCGGAGGCCGAGGUCUACCUGGCUCUUGGCGGAGGCCGAGGUCUGCCUGGCUCUUGGUAGGGGCCGAGGUCUGCCCCUUCGGCCUGUUCGGCUCUGAGGUUUGCUCCACCGGAAUUGGGUGACUCCAUGCCGGAAUAGGACAAUCUAUUUUGCCUCCCAUCAUUUGCCCCCCGACUUUCAAAUUCGAGUCGUCUCUUGGCUCGAGCGAAGGAAGUAGCCAAGUCGUCGAUCAGGCGUAUUCUGCUAGCAUCAUGCACCUUCAUGUGAUUGACAUGUUGGUGAACGCCGCGUCUAACUACCGGGAUCGGGCAAGGUCGUCUCGAUCAAGGGUGGAGGCUGCCGAGCGACAGAAGUAGGAGGCCGAGGUUCAGGCGGCGGCUGCCAAGCAACGACAGCAAGAGACCGAGGAGAGGGUGAAGACGACUGAAGCUCAGGUUGAGAUCGGGCUCGCCCGAAUUCUGGAGGCGGAGCUCGAGUGCAACCAAGCUCAUUCGACGCUCCGAGUCGCCGAAGGUCACAUUUUUGAGCUCGAGGCUGCACUGGCUGGCCAGAAGCACGAAGCCGAGUAGCUUGCUAAGUCGGCCGAGGAGCGGGUCCGAGAGGCUAUCGAAAAUUACCGCUAGUCCGAGGAGUAUCUGGAUGAACUGGCGGAGGGGGUGACCGAUGGCCUAAUCCGGGGCUUUGAGAACUGCCGCGAUUAAGCGAAGCGACUCUGCUCUGAGGUCGACUUCAACGGCCUUCGUCCACUUCUGGGUGGGGCCGCCGAGGCAACGAUUAUGGCUGAAGCGGGCGAACUUGCUACGUCGCACGAGCUCGUCGUCGUCGAGGACGGGGAUGCUCCUAAGACCUCUACUGUGGCCACUGCUGACGUUGGAGCUGGGGCUGCUGGCGAGGUCGGGCCCAAGACUGUGCAAGCCGCCUGAGCUUUACCCCUUGUUUUCUUUUCCUUUUCUUGUUAUUCUUGUAAAGUAAGCUACUUAGGCUUUUCACAGUUGACUAUUCUUGUAUUCGAUCAGACCUCAAGGUCGGAAUCCUUUGUACUCGGCCUUUGGCCUUUUUAUAUCAAUAAAAUGCAUUUUUCUGAUA
Phoenix dactylifera (date palm) is the source of this 3968-nucleotide RNA transcript. It is a transcript of the gene named meiosis-specific protein PAIR3-like, with no coding region annotated. NCBI's taxonomy places the organism in Eukaryota, Viridiplantae, Streptophyta, Magnoliopsida, Arecales, Arecaceae. The record is from RefSeq and is a predicted model, not a curated record.